AAAAUUAUUGAUCUUGUAGUUUUGAUCAUCAAUUUUACAAGGAGAUACCCUGUACAUAGGUGCUUCAUUCAAACUUACUUACAAAUGUAUAACAAUGUAUGCUAAGACCUUGUACAACAAAGAAGUCUCGUUACGUCCGGUCCCGUCGACUUGAGAACAACAAAAAGAUGAACAUGAGAGCACACUGAGAAAAUUAUUAUCAUUGCCUGUAAUAGCCACUCUGAUGGGGAGGAGGAUGAGGAUAUGGAGAAGGGGCUGUGUAAGGAGGCUGAGGCAUAGCUCCGGGUUGCUGUGGAGGUGCAUUAUAGUAUGGACCCCUCCAACCAGGAUAUGCAGGUUGGCCGUACUCG
Molecule: unclassified non-coding RNA, 350 nt
Filed under: Hevea brasiliensis (rubber tree)
Lineage: Eukaryota; Viridiplantae; Streptophyta; Magnoliopsida; Malpighiales; Euphorbiaceae
Source: RNAcentral